This 279-nucleotide ribosomal RNA is filed under the name Segatella copri DSM 18205. RNAcentral's name for it is "Prevotella copri DSM 18205 partial 16S ribosomal RNA". It matches the Rfam family "Bacterial small subunit ribosomal RNA", at positions 498 to 776 of the family's 1533-position model. Lineage: Bacteria; Pseudomonadati; Bacteroidota; Bacteroidia; Bacteroidales; Prevotellaceae. The record is from RNAcentral.
AUGGUAUGUGCCAGCCGCCGCGGUAAUACGGAAGGUCCGGGCGUUAUCCGGAUUUAUUGGGUUUAAAGGGAGCGUAGGCCGGAGAUUAAGCGUGUUGUGAAAUGUAGACGCUCAACGUCUGCACUGCAGCGCGAACUGGUUUCCUUGAGUACGCACAAAGUGGGCGGAAUUCGUGGUGUAGCGGUGAAAUGCUUAGAUAUCACGAAGAACUCCGAUUGCGAAGGCAGCUCACUGGAGCGCAACUGACGCUGAAGCUCGAAAGUGCGGGUAUCGAACAGG